This 612-nucleotide long non-coding RNA is filed under the name Gossypium barbadense (sea-island cotton). Its description in RNAcentral is "long non-coding RNA (GBAR_LNC002834)". Lineage: Eukaryota; Viridiplantae; Streptophyta; Magnoliopsida; Malvales; Malvaceae. The record is from RNAcentral.
CCAAAGCCAAGAAAGAAGUAUACAAACAUCAUCACUUCAGCUCUCUACCACCCACCCUUUUACUAGCCUAAGGGACACUAAAUGACAAAUUCCUCCCAUUGAAGUGUGGUUAUUUUGCAAAAGGACACUCAAUCACAAUAUGCCAAUAACAUCUCAUCAACAUUUAUACUUUGUCUUUCAAAAUUUUAACAAGAUUGAAUGAAUUUAGGAUUGGCACAGCAAUGUCACCAGGAUGGUAUCCACAAUCCUGAAUACAAGGACGGUAUAACAGGUAAGCAACAUAUAAAGAAAGGAAGCUUAGUGGAAUACUUAGAACAUGCAGAUGAAAACAGAGCAUUUAAGUUGCUGAAUAAAUGUUGCAUAAUAGAAUCAACUAACCUCUUUAUGAAAGUCAAAUAAGCUAAAGUAGCUCGGUUGAAUGCCUUCAUUAAUUUUCUUGAAAUGAACAUUACCUCACCAAUUUAGCUUUCUUCAUCUGCAAAGAUAAUAUUGAUUGCUAUUAUCAUCUUGUUCCUUAGGACAAUCACAUAUUAUCGAACUAAAUAGCCAUAAAAUUGAUCAAGCUUUAAAUGGUUUCACACCUAUGGUUUGAGUGUUAGCCUGUGUGGUCAU